CAAGUCUGGUGCCAGCAGCCGCGGUAAUUCCAGCUCCAAUAGCGUAUAUUAAAGUUGUUGCAGUUAAAAAGCUCGUAGUUGAAUUUCGGAAUCUGUCCGUUGGUCGGGCUUCAUUGUCCGUACUGGUGUGAUGGGUUCUUACCUUCUGAAUAACCAGCAUGCCAUUCAUUUGGUGCGUUGGGGAAGCAGGACUAUUACCUUGAAAAAAUUAGAGUGCUCAAAGCAGGCUAGUGCCUGAAUACAUUAGCAUGGAAUAAUAAAAUAGGACGGCAUGGUUCUAUUUUGUUGGUUUCUAGGAUCACCGUAAUGAUUAAUAGGGAUAGUUGGGGGCAUUAGUAUUCAAUUGUCAGAGGUGAAAUUCUUGGAUUUAUUGAAGACUAACUUCUGCGAAAGCAUUUGCCAAGGAUGUUUUCAUUAAUCAAGAACGAAAGUUAGGGGAUCGAAGACGAUCAGAUACCGUCGUAGUCUUAACCAUAAACUAUGCCGACUAGGGAUCGGA
Molecule: ribosomal RNA, 499 nt
Filed under: uncultured Acaulospora
Lineage: Eukaryota; Fungi; Glomeromycota; Glomeromycetes; Diversisporales; Acaulosporaceae
Description: SSU rRNA
Rfam family: Eukaryotic small subunit ribosomal RNA
Source: RNAcentral